Molecule: long non-coding RNA, 219 nt
Filed under: Elaeis guineensis (African oil palm)
Lineage: Eukaryota; Viridiplantae; Streptophyta; Magnoliopsida; Arecales; Arecaceae
Description: long non-coding RNA (EGUI_LNC003872)
Source: RNAcentral
GGAUGACAUAGAGCAAGAGAUUUAAAAAUCAAGCAGUCCUGAUGAAAGCAAGGUGAACUUAUAGAGAUCUUUAAAAGCUCAUUUCAGUUGAAAUCCACAAUAAAAUCAUUGAAGAGAUUUUUUGUCAUGCCAUCUAAAUCCCAACAUGUUGAAAGGAAAGAUCCUGUAUGUUAGAUCCAUCUCAUAAUAUAGAAAAUUGGGAAUUAUAACAAUUGCCAC